Molecule: unclassified non-coding RNA, 232 nt
Filed under: Hevea brasiliensis (rubber tree)
Lineage: Eukaryota; Viridiplantae; Streptophyta; Magnoliopsida; Malpighiales; Euphorbiaceae
Source: RNAcentral
GUUGUGGUCUCAAAAUAUGCAAGACCUUGGGGUCUGCGAAGACACUGUUUCUCAUGAUGAUUUUAACAUGCCUGAUCUCGACAUAACAUUUCGUAACUUUGAGGAACUGUUUGGAACUGAGAAAGACCCAGAUCCAAUCAGGGCACUGCUUGAUGAUAAAGGUGCAUCAAGCUCCUCUGUGGAGGACAUGUCCCUUGGUACAUCACAUAACAGAAAUGCAAGAACAAAGGAG